Long non-coding RNA from Labeo rohita (rohu), 1113 nucleotides. RefSeq lists it as uncharacterized. NCBI's taxonomy places the organism in Eukaryota, Metazoa, Chordata, Actinopteri, Cypriniformes, Cyprinidae. The record is from RefSeq and is a predicted model, not a curated record. The transcript has 3 exons.
GGGGGAAACACUUCAUGUAACUGUUUGUCCAUAUGUGCUCUCAUCAUCAAUGAACUAAAAUGCAUUUUAUUAAAAUACAUGAGCGAUUGUAUGUGAACGUCACAAUAGCGCUUUUGCGCAUGCGCCAAAAUUCAAACACACCCGCGCUAACGGCAGAGUCUGAGCAAUGGCUGCGGCUAAACAAACAGUCAUCUGCAGUAAGAUGUUUUUCUUAGUGGAAGGAUAACAAAUGUGCCAGUACCUUCACAUAAUAAACGACAAUGAUUUUAUAGACGGGCACGAAGACAGACCGACAUCACUGAGUGGAGCGGAUGAAACGCCUUUGAAUGUGGCAGCGGUGCAGGUAAUGAGUCCCGAAAUUCUCAGAAAAUAGAAAUGGAGGCCGAACCUGCAGAUGUGGAUGGCAGUGAUGUGAAUGAUGGAGCAUCUACACAGAAAAGAUGCUGGAAUCCAGAAAUUUCUUCACCUGGGGCCUACUGGGGAUGGCAAUAAACAAAAAACUAACCAAGCUGUGGGAAUACAAACCUGUAGACCUUUAGCUGAACCACUACAAUUGAUGUUCUGUUUCUUAUGCCUGUUCAGUGUUUUGAUCAGUUAUAUAUGUAAUUGUUUCUUUUUUGUCCUGUUUGAUUGUGCAGGUCAGUAACUUUUUUUUUUCUAUUUAAAUAAAUUCUGUUUAAAUAAAGAUGCUUCUUUGUGUAACUUUCUGUACCAUUUAACAUUUAAGGCUAAAGGUGUGAAAUGUGCAAUGCACUGCAACUUUGUAGAGUGUCUUACAUGUGUCUACAACCUCUAUUUAAAGAUCAAAGAUCACAUAUUAAAAUAUUAAAUAUAUGAUACCAUAUAUUUCAUGCAUAUAUGUCUAAUUUGUAUACAACAUAAUAAAAACAUACAUAUAUCUCACAUAUAUUAAUAAUUAUAUACAUUUCAUAUAUGGCAAUGCAUGUAUUAUACAUACAUAAACAUAUAUUUUUGUAUGGGGUAGACUUAUAUGUCAAUAUAUGAAAUUGUUCCAUUUUCUAAUAGGAAUCAUAUAUGGAUAUGGCAUAUAUAAACAUGUAUUCAAUAUAUGGGUAUUUCAUAUAAGCACAUAUAUUACAUUUCCGUAUGGGC